GUUAAAUCACAAGUCCCUAACCCACCUGCAGGCAUGGUAUAGAAUGCACACUUGACUAAACCACUCCCCCGUAGGUUAUAUAAGUCUGCCCUCCAGGCCUGAACCCUCCCUUUUCCCUCCAAACAAUUCCAGGCAGAACAAAGAGAGAGUGAUGUGAGUUUAAUGUGGCUUUUGUGCCUUUAUAAUUUAUUUGGUUGAAAUGAGAUAUAUAUUGUUUGAAAGUUAACAGAUUGUUUUGUGUUAUGUUAGAUACCUGAGUUUAAUAUGUGAAGGAGAAAAGGCAAAUUCCAGAUUGUGGAUGCAUAAAGAUAAAAAAUCAUCCACCAACUGCCAUCCAACUUCACACCUUGACUUUAAUAAAUUGUUGGAACGGC
Molecule: long non-coding RNA, 374 nt
Organism: Sebastes umbrosus (honeycomb rockfish)
Lineage: Eukaryota; Metazoa; Chordata; Actinopteri; Perciformes; Sebastidae
Exons: 2
Source: RefSeq, a predicted model, not a curated record